Molecule: ribosomal RNA, 403 nt
Filed under: uncultured bacterium
Lineage: Bacteria
Description: partial 16S ribosomal RNA
Rfam family: Bacterial small subunit ribosomal RNA
Source: RNAcentral
GACGAACGCUGGCGGCGUGCCUAAUACAUGCAAGUCGAACGCAGUGGGGACGGGUGAGUAACACGUGGGUAACCUCCCAUCAGAGGGGAUAACACUUGGCAACAGGUGCUAAACCGAUCCUGAUGGAUGGACCCGCGGUGCAUUAGCUAGUUGGGGAGGUAACGGCUCACCAAGGCCACGAUGCAUAGCCGACCUGAGAGUGUGAUCGGCCACACUGGGACUGAGACACGGCCCAUAUGCCUACGGGAGGCAGCAGUAGGGAAGCGUCGGCAAUGGACGAAAGUCUGACCGAGCAACUGCGCGUGAGUGAAGAAGGUUUUCGGAUCGUAAAACGCUGUUGUUAGAGAAGCGGUAUCUAACCAGAGAGCCACGGCUAACUACGUGCGAGCAGCCGCGGUAAUUC